RNAcentral lists this long non-coding RNA (260 nucleotides) under Olea europaea (common olive). RNAcentral's name for it is "long non-coding RNA (OEUR_LNC010149)". Lineage: Eukaryota; Viridiplantae; Streptophyta; Magnoliopsida; Lamiales; Oleaceae. The record is from RNAcentral.
CCUUCACAAAUCCGGGUGAUAUUCAAUCAUUGUGUGAUCAAGAGGUCGAUAAAUUCUAUUUUAUUGGUUGCUUGAAAUAAGUUCAGCCAAACAUGCUCUUACAUGGAGGACAGCAAUAUCAACAAAAGGAGAAAUGAGAGUUUUAAUUCAUGUUUAUCAUAAUUAACUACUGGGAACUAUUUAUGUACUUUUGGAGUUGAAGAUGUUACCUGUGAGUCUUCCGGCAAGGUACAGAGCUUCUUCAGCAAUUGGUCUCCAAU